AUGUGUGUGGCGAAAAGGGAUACGCGGUAGGUUUAGAACCUGUUAACUAUUUUUAGUUUUGUGGGUUCAAUUCCCACCACACAUA
Transfer RNA from Candidatus Nasuia deltocephalinicola str. NAS-ALF, 85 nucleotides. It matches the Rfam family "tRNA". Rfam says of the family: Transfer RNA (tRNA) molecules are approximately 80 nucleotides in length. Their secondary structure includes four short double-helical elements and three loops (D, anti-codon, and T loops). NCBI's taxonomy places the organism in Bacteria, Pseudomonadati, Pseudomonadota, Betaproteobacteria. The record is from Rfam.